CCUACGGGGGGCAGCAGUGGGGAAUAUUGGACAAUGGGGGCAACCCUGAUCCAGCCAUGCCGCGUGUGUGAAGAAGGCCCUCGGGUUGUAAAGCACUUUCAGUGAGGAAGAACGCCUGGUGGUUAAUACCCAUCAGGAAAGACAUCACUCACAGAAGAAGCACCGGCUAACUCCGUGCCAGCAGCCGCGGUAAUACGGAGGGUGCGAGCGUUAAUCAGAAUUACUGGGCGUAAAGCGCGCGUAGGUGGCUUGAUAAGCCGGUUGUGAAAGCCCCGGGCUCAACCUGGGAACGGCAUCCGGAACUGUCAAGCUAGAGUGCAGGAGAGGAAGGUAGAAUUCCCGGUGUAGCGGUGAAAUGCGUAGAGAUCGGGAGGAAUACCAGUGGCGAAGGCGGCCUUCUGGACUGACACUGACACUGAGGUGCGAAAGCGUGGGUAGCAAACAGGAUUAGAUACCCGAGUAGUC
RNAcentral lists this ribosomal RNA (465 nucleotides) under Vreelandella stevensii. Its description in RNAcentral is "partial 16S ribosomal RNA". It matches the Rfam family "Bacterial small subunit ribosomal RNA", at positions 338 to 795 of the family's 1533-position model. The record is from RNAcentral. Lineage: Bacteria; Pseudomonadati; Pseudomonadota; Gammaproteobacteria; Oceanospirillales; Halomonadaceae.